GAUGAAAGAACGCAGCGAAAUGCGAUAAGUAGUGUGAAUUGCAGAAUUCAGUGAAUCAUCGAAUCUUUGAACGCACAUUGCGCCCCAUGGUAUUCCGUGGGGCAUGCCUGUUCGAGCGUCAUUUACCCCCUCAAGCUCCGCUUGGUGUUGGGCGUCUGUCCCGCUUCGCGCGCGGACUCGCCCCAAAGGUAUUGGCAGCGGUCGUGCCAGCUUCUCGCGCAGCACAUUGCGCUUCUCGAGGCACCGGUGGGCCCGCGUCCAUCAAGCUCACCCCCCCAGUUUGACCUCGGAUCAGGUAGGGAUACCCGCUGAACUUAAGCAUAUCAAUAAGCGGAGGA
Molecule: unclassified non-coding RNA, 338 nt
Filed under: soil metagenome
Description: partial contains 5.8S ribosomal RNA, internal transcribed spacer 2, and large subunit ribosomal RNA
Rfam family: 5.8S ribosomal RNA (bases 6-121)
Source: RNAcentral